RNAcentral lists this ribosomal RNA (254 nucleotides) under uncultured bacterium. RNAcentral describes it as "partial 16S ribosomal RNA". It matches the Rfam family "Bacterial small subunit ribosomal RNA", at positions 524 to 776 of the family's 1533-position model. The record is from RNAcentral.
UACGUAGGUGGCAAGCGUUGUCCGGAAUUAUUGGGCGUAAAGAGCUCGUAGGCGGUGUGUCGCGUCGGCCGUGAAAACCUGUGGCUUAACUGCGGGCUUGCGGUCGAUACGGGCAUCACUGGAGUUCGGCAGGGGAGACUGGAAUUCCUGGUGUAGCGGUGAAAUGCGCAGAUAUCAGGAGGAACACCGGUGGCGAAGGCGGGUCUCUGGGCCGAUACUGACGCUGAGGAGCGAAAGCGUGGGGAGCGAACAGG